Small nucleolar RNA from Dendrobium catenatum, 118 nucleotides. RefSeq annotates it as small nucleolar RNA snoR74. The transcript has a single exon. NCBI's taxonomy places the organism in Eukaryota, Viridiplantae, Streptophyta, Magnoliopsida, Asparagales, Orchidaceae. The record is from RefSeq and is a predicted model, not a curated record.
AGAAAUAUAGGGGUUGGGUGCCUCUAUUAACCUAACCUGUAAAGAAAAUAACUCCAUUAUUUUUUGGUGAAUCAUUUCUAUUUAUAAAUAACAUGGUUCAGUUAAUAGUGAUGCACAA